UGGCUCAGAGGUUAAGAGCACUGAGUGCUCUUUCAGAGGACCUGGGUUCAAUUCCCAG
This 58-nucleotide transfer RNA is filed under the name Mesocricetus auratus (golden hamster). Lineage: Eukaryota; Metazoa; Chordata; Mammalia; Rodentia; Cricetidae. The record is from Rfam by way of RNAcentral.